Molecule: long non-coding RNA, 99 nt
Organism: Telopea speciosissima
Lineage: Eukaryota; Viridiplantae; Streptophyta; Magnoliopsida; Proteales; Proteaceae
Exons: 4
Source: RefSeq, a predicted model, not a curated record
UCCUAAUCAUAUGAUUUGUUGGAGAGAAUCAAACACUUCACAAUGAGCACCAUCACAAUAAUAAGAAACAGAGAAUUCGACGAAUACAUAAUCCUCAGA